Molecule: ribosomal RNA, 380 nt
Filed under: Serratia sp. ARE_PHE21_2
Lineage: Bacteria; Pseudomonadati; Pseudomonadota; Gammaproteobacteria; Enterobacterales; Yersiniaceae
Description: bacterial SSU rRNA
Rfam family: Bacterial small subunit ribosomal RNA
Source: RNAcentral
UAGCAGAGAUGCUUUGGUGCCUUCGGGAACUCUGAGACAGGUGCUGCAUGGCUGUCGUCAGCUCGUGUUGUGAAAUGUUGGGUUAAGUCCCGCAACGAGCGCAACCCUUAUCCUUUGUUGCCAGCGGUUCGGCCGGGAACUCAAAGGAGACUGCCAGUGAUAAACUGGAGGAAGGUGGGGAUGACGUCAAGUCAUCAUGGCCCUUACGAGUAGGGCUACACACGUGCUACAAUGGCGUAUACAAAGAGAAGCGACCUCGCGAGAGCAAGCGGACCUCAUAAAGUACGUCGUAGUCCGGAUUGGAGUCUGCAACUCGACUCCAUGAAGUCGGAAUCGCUAGUAAUCGUAGAUCAGAAUGCUACGGUGAAUACGUUCCCGGG